Molecule: ribosomal RNA, 746 nt
Filed under: bacterium 141_xplvp294
Lineage: Bacteria
Also listed under: 1 other name
Description: bacterial SSU rRNA
Rfam family: Bacterial small subunit ribosomal RNA
Source: RNAcentral
CUAUACAUGCAAGUCGAACGGUGGUAGCAAUACCAUAGUGGCGCACGGGUGCGUAACGCGUAACCAACCUACCUGGAUCUGGGGGAUAGCCCGCCGAAAGGCGGAUUAAUACCGCAUAAGCAGCUGAGACGGCAUCGUUUUAGUUGUAAAGAUUUAUUGGAUUCAGAUGGGGUUGCGUAGCAUUAGCUAGUUGGCGGGGUAACGGCCCACCAAGGCGACGAUGCUUAGGGGACCUGAGAGGGUGAUCCCCCACACUGGCACUGAGAUACGGGCCAGACUCCUACGGGAGGCAGCAGUAGGGAAUAUUGGGCAAUGGGCGAGAGCCUGACCCAGCCAUGCCGCGUGCCGGAUGAAGGCCUUCUGGGUUGUAAACGGCUUUUCUCAGGGAAGAAAAAGAGGAUGCGUCCUAAACUGACGGUACCUGAGGAAUAAGCACCGGCUAACUCCGUGCCAGCAGCCGCGGUAAUACGGAGGGUGCAAGCGUUGUCCGGAUUUAUUGGGUUUAAAGGGUGCGUAGGUGGCCUUAUAAGUCCGUGGUGAAAGCCUGCUGCUCAACAGCAGAACUGCCAUGGAUACUGUAGGGCUUGAGUCCAGACGAGGUUGGCGGAAUGGAAGAUGUAGCGGUGAAAUGCAUAGAUAUCUUCCAGAACCCCGAUUGCGUAGGCAGCUGACUAGGCUGGUACUGACACUGAGGCACGAAAGCGUGGGGAGCGAACAGGAUUAGAUACCCUGGUAGUCCACGCCGU